Molecule: ribosomal RNA, 466 nt
Filed under: uncultured bacterium
Lineage: Bacteria
Description: bacterial SSU rRNA
Rfam family: Bacterial small subunit ribosomal RNA
Source: RNAcentral
CCUACGGGUGGCAGCAGUGGGGAAUUUUGCGCAAUGGGCGAGAGCCUGACGCAGCAACGCCGCGUGAGUGAGGACGCCUUUCGAGGUGUAAAGCUCUGUCAGUGGGGACGAAGACGCGGGUGGUGAAGAGCCACCGGUGCUGACGGUACCUGCGAAGGAAGCCCCGGCUAACUCCGUGCCAGCAGCCGCGGUAAGACGGAGGGGGCAAGCGUUGUUCGGAAUUACUGGGCGUAAAGCGCGCGUAGGCGGCGUGCCAAGUGUGACGUGAAAGCCCUCGGCUUACCCGGGGAAGGGCGUCGCAGACGGGUAGGCGAGAGUGCCGGAGGGGGAUGCGGAAUUCCUGGUGGAGCGGUGAAAUGCGUAGAGAUCAGGAAGAACGUCGGUGGCGAAGGCGGCAUCCUGGACGGACACUGACGCUGAGGUGCGAGAGCGUGGGGAGCGAACGGGAUUAGAUACCCGUGUAGUC